Molecule: ribosomal RNA, 253 nt
Filed under: uncultured bacterium
Lineage: Bacteria
Description: partial 16S ribosomal RNA
Rfam family: Bacterial small subunit ribosomal RNA
Source: RNAcentral
GACGUAGGGGGCCAGCGUUGUUCGGAAUUACUGGGUGUAAAGGGUUCGUAGGCGGUGCGGCAAGUCGGGAGUGAAAUCUCUGGGCUUAACCCAGAGGCUGCUUCCGAAACUGCUGUGCUUGAGUGUGGGAGAGGCGCGUGGAAUUGCAGGUGUAGCGGUGAAAUGCGUAGAUAUCUGCAGGAACACCCGUGGCGAAAGCGGCGCGCUGGACCACUACUGACGCUGAGGAACGAAAGCCAGGGGAGCAAACGGG